RNAcentral lists this ribosomal RNA (265 nucleotides) under uncultured archaeon. Its description in RNAcentral is "partial 16S ribosomal RNA". It matches the Rfam family "Archaeal small subunit ribosomal RNA", at positions 717 to 982 of the family's 1478-position model. The record is from RNAcentral.
AGACGUCUACAUUAGAUACCCGUGUAGUCCCAGCCGUAAACUAUUCGCGUUAGGUGUAUCGGUGACCACGAGUUACCGAGGUGCCGAAGGGAAACCGUGAAACGUGCCGCCUGGGAAGUACGGUCGCAAGGCUGAAACUUAAAGGAAUUGGCGGGGGAGCACAACAACGGGUGGAGCCUGCGGUUUAAUUGGACUCAACGCCGGACAACUCACCGGGAACAACAGCAAUAUGUAGGCCAGGCUGAAGACCUUGCCUGAAUCGCUG